CUCCGUAGGUGAACCUGCGGAGGGAUCAUUACUGAGUUACCGCUCAUCAACCCUUUGUGAACAUACCUUAACUGUUGCUUCGGCGGGUAGGCGUCCCCUAAAAAGGACGUCUCCCGGCCCUCUCCCGUCCGCGGGUGGGGCGCCCGCCGGAGGAUAACCAAACUCUGAUUUAACGACGUUUCUUCUGAGUGACACAAGCAAAUAAUCAAAACUUUUAACAACGGAUCUCUUGGUUCUGGCAUCGAUGAAGAACGCAGCGAAAUGCGAUAAGUAAUGUGAAUUGCAGAAUUCAGUGAAUCAUCGAAUCUUUGAACGCACAUUGCGCCCGCCAGCAUUCUGGCGGGCAUGCCUGUUCGAGCGUCAUUUCAACCCUCAAGCUCUGCUUGGUGUUGGGGCUCUACGGUUGACGUAGGCCCUUAAAGGUAGUGGCGGACCCUCUCGGAGCCUCCUUUGCGUAGUAACAUUUCGUCUCGCAUUGGGAUUCGGAGGGACUCUAGCCGUAAAACCCCCAAUUUUACUAAGGUUGACCUCGGAUCAGGUAGGAAUACCCGCUGAACUUAAGCAUAUCAAUAAGCGGAGGAAA
This 583-nucleotide ribosomal RNA is filed under the name Colletotrichum sp. 70a. RNAcentral describes it as "eukaryotic LSU rRNA". The stretch from base 210 to 363 matches the Rfam family "5.8S ribosomal RNA". The record is from RNAcentral. Lineage: Eukaryota; Fungi; Ascomycota; Sordariomycetes; Glomerellales; Glomerellaceae.